UGGAUUAUGUGGUAUAAUAGUGCAUAUUGGGGUACUACACUCUUUUUAUUAAUUAUUUGGAUUUGGUCACCAUAUUUACUAUCAGAUAUAGAAUACUUCUGGCCACCGAAACAAACUCAAUUUGCUAUAUCGUCGGUUUUAUGGCGUUGCUACAUUGGUUUAUUCCACCAGUUGGACGACUUCACUCAUUGCUAUUAUCCAUAUAUAGAUAUCGAUGAUCACACACUUUCCGUAUCGACUUACUGGUUAGAGUUGCCAAAUGUACUAAAAACAUUUUCAUAAAUUUAAAUAGAAUAAAUGUCUUGCGGUACCGUAAUUGAAUAAUUACAUACGUAAAAUGGGAAUGGUUACAGUUUUCCAGUCUCGAUAAUUGAAUUGUGCAUUGAUUGAGGUAGUGUAAAGCGGGAUUUGUCUGUACAAUAAUAUCAAUAAUAAAUAAAUAGCAAAUAUUUUAUUUAUUUUGAUCAUAAUUAUAGCCUGAAAGUAUUAUGUUUAUUAAUUAAUCUC
This 507-nucleotide long non-coding RNA is filed under the name Androctonus crassicauda. The record is from RNAcentral. Lineage: Eukaryota; Metazoa; Arthropoda; Arachnida; Scorpiones; Buthidae.